GACGAACGCUGGCGGCGUGCUUAACACAUGCAAGUGGAGCGACGAACCAGGGCUUGCCCUGGGGCAGAGCCGCGAACGGGUGAGUAACACGUGGGUAACCUGCCCAGAUGACCGGGACAACCCGAGGAAACUCGGGAUAGUACCGGACGUGCUGUCCCCACAUCAGUGGGGUUAGGAAAGGUAGCUUCGGCUUCCGCAUCUGGAUGGGCCCGCGGCCCAUUAGCUUGGUGGUGAGGUAACGGCUCCCCAAGGCUUCGAUGGGUAGCUUGUCGGAGAGGACGAUCAGCCACACUGGGAGUGAGACACGGCCCGGACUCCUACGGGAGGAAGCAGUGGGGAAUCUUGCGCAAUGCGCGAAAGCGUGACGCAGCAACGCCGCGUGCGGGAAGACGGCCUUCGGGUUGUAAACCGCUUUCAGUUGGGACGAAGCCUUUGCGGUUAAUAGCCGUGGAAGGUGACGGUACCUUCAGAAGAAGCCCCGGCUAACUACGUGCCAGCAGCCGCAGUAA
RNAcentral lists this ribosomal RNA (509 nucleotides) under uncultured bacterium. RNAcentral's name for it is "partial 16S ribosomal RNA". It matches the Rfam family "Bacterial small subunit ribosomal RNA", at positions 28 to 523 of the family's 1533-position model. The record is from RNAcentral.